UCAGACGGGUGGUUUUCCCUGUCUUUACACACUGCCAGCACGUUACCAGGACAGAGUCCACUGGAGCCCAUUAAAUUACGUGGGGCUAGUUCUGGUGAAGCUGCAUUGGGCUCUGUGAUGGCAGCAUGCCAACAGCGUAUGGAGAAGGAACCUUGAGGAUUCGUGUGACUAGUCAUCUCUUAAUUGAAGAAGCCAGGAACAGCACAGAAACUUUGUGGGAUGGCAGCCCACAACUCACAACGAGCUAAAUCGAGAUAGCGACAGCCUUCUGAGCAAAGCAGAACAAUUACUGUAAAAUCAGGCUGCCAAUAAGGUCAAGAGACACAAAGAAACCUCCAAAUACAUUGAUGGGUGUGACUGUGAUGCCUUAGCAAUAACUAGAUUUGCCAAAAACUCUGAUCUGAUGGGCACAAGGGCAAAGAAUGAAAACAUCUGGACCUUGACUCUGUUUUGGCUCAUUUCUUCUAUUUUGCAUUUUCUUCCAUGCCAGAUCUCCACUUCUGGGUGCUUUCAGGCAGCACAUCAUUAAUCCUGGAUGGUCAAGAAGAAGUAUUUCAUUGUUUUAAUCCAAUUUUCUAGUGUUAAGGUCAAGCUACAUGAAAAAUUAGAUGCCAAAGAAUCUGAGUGUUUGAAGUGGAGAAGGAAGAAUCUAGACACUGAAUGUUCAGAAGACAAACCAAAGACAUUCAUGGGGAAUUCAAGUGUAAUUCCUAACCCAAGGAUGAGAAUCUUGUAGACCUUCAAAUGGUGGACCGCAGCUGCCAUCACUCUUGACCAUUGGAUAUGCUUGCAGUCUAGCAACAUUUGGAAGGCCAUAUAAUUCCUACCACAAACCAGAAUCUGUGAUGAACUAUACUAACAUAGCCCAGAGCAUUUGUAUUCUAGCAUAUUACUAGGUGACCAUUAUCAGGAAUGGAGAACAGUUAGCACCACACAUUUGCUGGAGUUAGGUGCACAGGGCCCCUGAAAAAGUGGAAAAAAUUGAAUAAAAAGCCUCUGAGAACACCUUUCUAACUCCUUCAGCACAAAUCUAUGGUCAACUUCUGCUUGCUAACUUUUGAACAUUUCAUUAUUCACAGAUUUGAUAAAAAUGUUCUUUCUAUUA
Long non-coding RNA from Anolis carolinensis (green anole), 1105 nucleotides. RefSeq lists it as uncharacterized. The record is from RefSeq and is a predicted model, not a curated record. The transcript has 2 exons. NCBI's taxonomy places the organism in Eukaryota, Metazoa, Chordata, Lepidosauria, Squamata, Anolidae.